Molecule: long non-coding RNA, 3534 nt
Filed under: Phaseolus vulgaris (common bean)
Lineage: Eukaryota; Viridiplantae; Streptophyta; Magnoliopsida; Fabales; Fabaceae
Description: long non-coding RNA (PVUL_LNC004107)
Source: RNAcentral
AUUCCUUGUUCUUCCUUCUUCGUUGACUAUUCAUUUUUUUGGGAAUUCGUGUUAUCCCGUGCCUUUUGUUUGUUUUUGCUCGAAUUUCUGUGGGUUUCGUUUGUUUUUGUGAUUUGUUUUGCGUUCUGCUAGAUGGUACCCCAACCUAGGGCUUUUAUUUUCUCUUUUCGCAUUUUCUUAUUGCUUACGAUUUGUGUCGCGCUGAUUACUUAUGCUAAGAAAUUCGCUGCAAAGGUUUGGGCUUUUUAUCUUCUGAAUUCGGAAAAUUGUCUCUCUGCUGAGUGUUGAGUCGCCUGUUAGGGUUUUCUAGAUGUGUUCUUUGUUUCCGUGUAAGGAAAAGGAUUUUGAUAGGUUUGAACUGUAUGUCUUGCAAUAUUCCUUUGACAUGUUUAUCUCGUUGCAUUUGUGAAGUUUUGUGGUUUCUGCAAGGGGUUGCAUUCAUUUUUGCAGUUUGCCUGCAGUAAAGAUUUUAUUUAUUUAUUGUAAAAAAAAAAAUUUAUUUAUUUUGUAGUUACGAGAAAGUUUCCGCUUUUCUAGCCAAUAAUUGUGACCGAAGAAGUUUGCUGCACAUGUAACACUGCCAUUUUGUGCAAAUAUGUUGAGCCUUACUUUCUGGAAUUUUCUUUGUUUCUUGGCUUUUGUUUUAGAUUUGAUAUGAUGGGUAUCAUGCUAUUGUACUUCAUUGUUCCUGUUCUUAGUGUUUGUAUAUUAUUGAUUUUUUCUUAUACAUUUGGGCAUGGAAACUCCAUGAAGAUUGACUUAUUGUUUAUUGGCGGCUCCAUUUGUUCUAAUAUGAUAUCGUGUGUUGCUUUAUUGUCGGUUCACUUGGUUGUUUUUAUUUGAUUUAUUCUGUGGUAGUAUUAGUAUGUGCAGCGUUUACCAAAUAACAUUUUUUUUUUCACAAUCAUAGAUGAACUUCUACUAUUUUCUUUUUAAAACUACAGGAAAACUGGGUUAAGUUGGAUUACUGGUGAAUAAAGACAUCAAUCUACAUUUUCCAAGAUUCUUUUAUAAAUAUUUUUUCAUGGGAAAUCAUGCUUGUUUUAUUCUUGUAUCUUAAUCAACUUUCACUGCUUAAUUUAAUACCCUCCUGGUUCCCCAAAACUAAAGUAGUGAGAAAAGAGAAGUGGCAGAAAUCAUAAAAUAUCUUCAGUUAUUUCAUGUUUGAGCCCAACAUAAUUUCUCAUUCUCAGAAUUUUGUCCUAAUGCUAUUAGAGGGUUCGGUUAGCCUGUGAUAAUGACCAUAUUCUCUGGUUUUCCUUUACCAUAAUUUUUGCUGACUGUGGUUCUUUUAAUAAAUUGCAUAAUUUUGUUAAACUGAAAAUAUUUGGUUUUGUAUGUCACAGUAGAUGAGGUUGGACUCCAGGAUUGUGAGUAAAGUUAUCAUUCUCCAUUUGACAAGAUACCUUUUACACGUGGCCAUUCUUCAGGAAACACGAAUAUUGAAUAGUUUUACUCUUGUAUCAGAAAUCAGGAUCACCUGCCAAGUUCUUAACAAACAGUCCUCCCCGUUCCCCUAAAGUAGGUGAAAAAAUGAGUUGCUGAAAUUAUAAACAAAUCUCGAAUAAUUUAGUGUUUGAGAUCCCAGAACAGUUUCUUGUUCAAUUCUCAAUUUCCCCCGUCCUGUUUAGUUUUUAGGUGUUCAGCUAAAACUGUCCCAAACUUAAUGGUAAUUUAGUACUUAUUUGAUGUGGUUCUUUGCUGGGCUUUGGGCAUUUCAACGCUUGUGGUAAGAAAGGGAUCAUAUAGCUUUACGCAAAUAGUGCAACUUCUGUGUUAAUGUAUUAUUUGCAACAAAAUCAGCUUAAUCAGCAACUUUUUGAGCUGUUUGUUAUUCUUCCUUGUGACUUUUUAAGCUGCUUAUUUCCUUGGAUAAAUUCUACUGUUUUUUUAUACUGAAUACGUUAUUUAUGAGAUGCUAGAAUGAUGCCUGGCAAUCUACAUGAAACAUUUCAUGUUACUUUUGCAGGUGAAACUUUCAAUGAGCAUGAAAAAUCAUUUUAUUAAUACUCUUUUUAGUUGUUUACAUUCAUUUUCUAUUACUUUCUUAUUUGAGUCGUUUGGUUUUGAGGAUGGAAAUAGAGAUGAAACAUUUUCUUUUUUUCUAUCCCUUACAUCGGAGUAACCCACCAUGUAACAUACUUUAUCAUAUUUGUUGAAGUAUGCACUUAUUUCCCGAGGUUUACAAAACAUCAAAACCUUUACAAAAUCUAAGCAAUCACCAAAUGAAAACUAUUUUGGAACACUUGUGACCCCCAUGGAAAUUUUUCUAAGGUGAAUCAAUUGAGAGUUUGAGCUAUCCAGUUGUGGUCCGUUAGAUCAUUGUAGAGAUACUGGCAUUUAUUAUACAUAUUUCAUAUAUAAUAAGUUAUUGCAUAUCUUUAGGGUGAUCUAAUGCACAGAAGGAAUCUUGAGAACUCAACCUCCCUACAAACUCUGAAAAUAAACAAACUACAAAAGGGUCUUUAUAUAAAUACAAAACUAGAUCGGUUUUAUGUAAGUUUUGUAAGAAGGUGUUGUCACCUUAUGUCCCGAGAUAAACUCUGUGUCCUUUUGCUGCAUGAUAUUGUCUAUUUAUUUUCUAUAUUGCAGUUUUAGAUUAGUAAAUGGUUCAUAUACAGUCCUCAAGAAAACUAUUUUGGAACACUUGUGACCCCCAUGGAAAUUUUUUUAAGGUGAAUCAAUUGAGAGUUUGAGCUAUCUAGUUGUGGUCCAUUAGAUCAUUAUAGAGAUACUGGCAUUUAUUAUACAUAUUUCAUAUAUAAUAAGUUAUUGCAUAUCUUUAGGGUGAUCUAAUGCACAGAAGGAAUCUUGAGAGCUCAACCUCACUACAAACUCUGAAAAUAAACAAACUACAAAAGGGUCUUUAUAUAAUACAAAACUAGAUAGGAUUUUAUGUAAGUUUUGUAAGGAGGUGUUGUCACCUUAUCUCCCGAGAUAAACUCUGGGUCCUUUUGCUGCAUGAUAUUGUCUAUUUAUUUUCUAUACUGCAGUUUUAGAUUGGUAAAUGGUUCAUAUACAGUCCAUAUGUGUGCAUUUUUUGUGUUUAUGGUCACAGUAUGAGCCUCGGAUACUUGCCUUCACAUUUUUCGUCUCCUCCACACCAUUCCAUGAACUUUGACUUUUCCCAGGUAUAGCCUGAAUGGAAGAAUUAAAGAGGGAAAGAAAAGCCUUCUGACUGAAAAAGGUUAAUUUGGUGCCAUGCUACUCUUUUCCUAAAGUUUUAACAGUAAAACUGCUAGCUUUUAACAGCCUUUGAUGUUUAAAUAGCCACAUAUAUGCUUAAAACUGUGAAAACAUUUUUUCAAAUAAAGGGAACAAGAAAACAUAAUCAAGUUUUGUCAAGGGUUUAAUUUGCUAUUCAAAUAAUAAGUUGUGUUUUAAUUGCAUUUGUACCAAAUACGUCAGUGUAAUGUUAUUUGUGGAAGUCAAUAACAUAAACAAGAACCUUGUAUGUAUUAAAGUUGAAUGUAUUACUGUUGUUAAUUUGUUGUGUGUUUAAGCAUAUAAGAUUAUUCAUAAAUCAUAUUUCCC